CCCCCCCCCCAAAUAGGGCUUAGACCCACCUCUGGGUAAAGUAAAUCUUUCAAAUUUCUUCUUGUUUAACUAAGUGAAAGUAGGUUCAUCUUUUUAAAGUGAGGGCUGUUGUUAAAUGUCACACAUAAUCAAUUAUGUAAGAUGAUGUGUUGUUUUUUAUCUUGUUUUUCUAGCAAAUGAGUGAAUACUGGGGCCUGUACUACGAAGCGGGGUUACUGGCUAAUCGGGGUAACUUGUCGGAUUUAAGGUAGUCUGGGCAAAACGUAAGUGAACGAAUAUGAAGCCCAUUUAAGCUGUGGUACCUUAAAUCCGACAAGUUACCCGGAUAAGCCAGUAACCCCGCUUCGUAGUACAGGCCACAGGUCACAUUAAUAUAUAAACGAGGCAUGUAAACAAAGACUGAGCCGCUCAGUGGAAGCAGCCACCUUCCUGUCCCAGGACAGGAAGUGAAGAAGAAUGGAGAGGUUUUCUAUACGCCACAAGUCUCCUCAGUCUUUCCAGUCCCGUGAACUAAUUUGACAGCUCCUGGCUUCAGAGAGGCAGGUACCCCAGGGCGAGCAGCUGCACCGUGCAUGCUUACACGUUUGGCCUCUUUCCCUGCUGGGUGUCAUCUGUCUCCUUGGUCCUGCGCUGGAUCAUCUCUGUCCUCCUGACAUCAUCUGCCUGAGCGCGUUCUGCCUGCUGGGGCCCGUCUGUCCAGGUUGUGCUUCAAACGAGGCCAGACCACGUCUAAUCUGACGAGACGGCACUCCAAAUACCACCGCCCCGGGCCGGGGCCCCCUCUGCCUGGUGCUGGAAAUGGCAGCCCACUCCCCCCGUCACGGGGUCCUGCUGCCGGCGUUCCUGUCACUCUGGCCCGGGCCGUCCGCACUUCUGCGCCAUCGCAGAUGUCAGUCUGCCGGGCGACAGCGUGUAGAAGCUCUGCCUCAACAGGUCUGGCCAUUCCUGCCCACUGGCAGCAAUUGGCUGGGCUGAAGCCACGAUUGCAGGGGAUGAUCUUCAGCUGGGGCCUCGGGGAAUGAAUGGCAGUGCGUCGAAAGUUAAUCACAGCAGGGAACAGCACUGCGCUGCCAGGAAGACUGGCGGCUUUUAUCCCAGGAAACUGCACACAUGGGUUCAAUGCCGGACUCGGGUCCCUACGCCGGAUACAGGAGCUGUAGCGGCAUGCGGGGGGCAGGGAUGCCACAGAAAGGUGGGGUGUCAGCAUGAUUAACCCCCCCAGGUGGACAGCAUGAGGCUAUGAGUAAUUCAAAGUCAGUCAGUGGGGGUAUGUUCAAUUAUGGGAUGUCUUACAAGGCAAACACAAUGAUACACAUCGGGUCUCAUCUGCAACUGAAAUGAGCAAGGAAUCAGUCAUAUGGCAAGUUGCUUUAGCUUUCAUUCAUUUUUAGAGGAUAUCACAUAUUCAAUUUUAACUUUAAACAAAAAUUUCAUAUUAGCUAGUGAGCUUCAAAACAUUUUUCUCAUUCAUUUCAAUGAGAGCUGGAAUUUAACAGGAAUUUAGUUGUAACUAGUUAUAAUUCAGUUUUUGCUAGUUAAAAUACCAGUUUCUGAUAUCAUAUAGCAAUUGUGAUAUCAAAAUACAGAAUUAAAUCACAUUAUAACUAGUUAUAAUUGAAUUUCUGAUAUCAAGAAUUUGAAUUCUAACUAGUUAGGAAUGAAUUAGUGAUAUUCUCCAGAAAUUAAUUAGAGCUAAAACCGCUUGCCAUACAUUCAUGGCCACAAGGGGGAGUACGUGAGAAACUCCUGCGGGUUUCCACAAGUGACUGUUCAGGCAUCCAGGGAGAGGCCAGUCUCUGCGUGUGACAGAGCAAAAAAGGCUCAUUUGGGACCAUGAGGACAAAAGAGCCUCACAAAUCUGGCUUAUUCCUCCUGGCCCUUUCACCAUAAUAAUUAUAUACAAAAUCUAGGAAAGAGCAUUAAUUGACAAUGGUAUCGAGAAUAAAUCAUAAAAUACUUUUUUUUGGAAUUAAGUUUACAUUCCCAUUUCUUUCCAAUGUGUCAAUUAAGAUUAACUUUUUAAGAUGAAUUUUAUAAAUCCCAUGAAUGAACAUUUCUGAGAUUUAUGUAUUUUGUAAUUGUCUGUAAUAUGCAAUCUUAGAACAUCACAACGUGAAAAUAAAAUUCACCUUGCAGAUA
Non-coding RNA from Paramormyrops kingsleyae, 2139 nucleotides. The record is from RefSeq and is a predicted model, not a curated record. Lineage: Eukaryota; Metazoa; Chordata; Actinopteri; Osteoglossiformes; Mormyridae.